Molecule: ribosomal RNA, 497 nt
Filed under: uncultured bacterium
Lineage: Bacteria
Description: partial 16S ribosomal RNA
Rfam family: Bacterial small subunit ribosomal RNA
Source: RNAcentral
GAUGAACGCUGGCGGCGUGCCUAAUACAUGCAAGUCGAGCGAACGGACGCGAAGCUUGCUUUUCUGAUGUUAGCGGCGGACGGGUGAGUAACGCGUGUAUAACCUACCUAUAAGUCUGGUAUAACUUCGGGAAACCGGAGCUAAUACCGGAUAAUAUUUUGAAGCGCAUGGUUCAAAAGUGAAAGACGGUCUUGCUGUCACUAAUAGAUGGAUCCGCGCUGCAUUAGCUAGUUGGUAAGGUAACGGCUUACCAAGGCAACGAUGCAUAGCCGACCUGAGAGGGGGAUCGGCCACACUGGAACUGAGCCACGGUCCAGACUCCUACGGGAGGCAGCAGUAGGGAAUCUGCCGCAAUGGGCGAAAGCCUGACGGAGCAACGCCGCGUGAGUUAUGAAGGUCUUCGGAUCGUAAAACUCUGUUAUUAGGGAAGAACAUAUGUGUAAGUAACUGUGCACAUCUUGACGGUACCUAAUCAGAAAGCCACGGCUAACUACGUG